This 156-nucleotide non-coding RNA is filed under the name Candidatus Zhuqueibacterota. RNAcentral describes it as "Candidate division c-di-GMP sequence". It matches the Rfam family "c-di-GMP-I riboswitch aptamer". Rfam says of the family: GEMM was predicted in a large-scale screen for bacterial structured RNA regulatory elements. Genes associated with GEMM are involved in a diverse array of functions, including chemotaxis regulation, signal transduction, secretion and chitin. Lineage: Bacteria; Pseudomonadati. The record is from RNAcentral.
CCCGAAAAAGGCUAAAUCCUGUUGAAAAACGGGAGGCAGAAAGCUACGGGUCUAAAGCAAGUUUCCUGAUACGCUUUACUCGGAACUGGAAUUGUAAAGCGUCUUCAAGCUAGCAAGUGAUGUUGAAUAGCUUGACAUGAUAGCCAGGCUAUCGAA